GACGAACGCUGGCGGCGUGCUUAACACAUGCAAGUCGAACGGAAAGGCCCUUUCGGGGGUGCUCGAGUGGCGAACGGGUGAGUAACACGUGGGUGAUCUGCCCUGCACUUUGGGAUAAGCCUGGGAAACUGGGUCUAAUACCGAAUAUGACCAGUCUUUAGUGUGAUUGGUGGAAAGCUUUUGCGGUGUGGGAUGAGCCUGCGGCCUAUCAGCUUGUUGGUGGGGUAAUGGCCUACCAAGGCGUCGACGGGUAGCCGGACUGAGAGGUCGAUCGGCCACAUUGGGACUGAGACACGGCCCAGACUCCUACGGGAGGCAGCAGUGGGGAAUAUUGCACAAUGGGCGCAAGCCUGAUGCAGCGACGCCGCGUGGGGGAUGACGGCCUUCGGGUUGUAAACCUCUUUCGCUCACGACGAAGCGCAAGUGACGGUAGUGAGAUAAGAAGCACCGGCUAACUACGUGCCAGCAGCCGCGGUAAUACGUAGGGUGCGAGCGUUGUCCGGAAUUACUGGGCGUAAAGAGCUCGUAGGUGGUUUGUCGCGUCGUCUGUGAAAUACCGGGGCUUAACUUCGGAGCUGCAGGCGAUACGGGCAUAACUUGAGUGCUGUAGGGGAGACUGGAAUUCCUGGUGUAGCGGUGAAAUGCGCAGAUAUCAGGAGGAACACCGAUGGCGAAGGCAGGUCUCUGGGCAGUAACUGACGCUGAGGAGCGAAAGCAUGGGUAGCGAACAGGAUUAGAUACCCUGGUAGUCCAUGCUGUAAACGGUGGGCGCUAGGUGUAGGGGUCUUCCACGACUUCUGUGCCGUAGCUAACGCAUUAGGCGCCCCGCCUGGGGAGUACGGCCGCAAGGCUAAAACUCAAAGGAAUUGACGGGGGCCCGCACAAGCGGCGGAGCAUGUGGAUUAAUUCGAUGCAACGCGAAGAACCUUACCUGGGCUUGACAUACACCGGACCGGGCCAGAGAUGGUCUUUCCCUUGUGGCUGGUGUACAGGUGGUGCAUGGUUGUCGUCAGCUCGUGUCGUGAGAUGUUGGGUUAAGUCCCGCAACGAGCGCAACCCUUGUCUUAUGUUGCCAGCACGUUAUGGUGGGGACUCAUGAGAGACUGCCGGGGUUAACUCGGAGGAAGGUGGGGAUGACGUCAAAUCAUCAUGCCCCUUAUGUCCAGGGCUUCACACAUGCUACAAUGGUCGGUACAACGCGUUUGCGACAUCGUGAGGUGAAGCUAAUCGCUGAAAGCCGGCCUCAGUUCGGAUUGGGGUCUGCAACUCGACCCCAUGAAGUCGGAGUCGCUAGUAAUCGCGGAUCAGCAACGCUGCGGUGAAUACGUUCCCGGGCCU
Molecule: ribosomal RNA, 1338 nt
Filed under: uncultured bacterium
Lineage: Bacteria
Description: bacterial SSU rRNA
Rfam family: Bacterial small subunit ribosomal RNA
Source: RNAcentral